GAUGAACGCUGGCGGCGUGCCUAAUACAUGCAAGUCGAGCGAAUGACGAGGAGCUUGCUCCUCUGAUUUAGCGGCGGACGGGUGAGUAACACGUGGGUAACCUGCCUGUAAGACGGGGAUAACUCCGGGAAACCGGAGCUAAUACCGGAUGAUAACGAGACGCGCCUGCUUCUUUUUUGAAAGUCGGUUUCGGCUGACGCUUACAGAUGGUCCCGCGGCGCAUUAGCUAGUUGGUGAGGUAACGGCGCACCAAGGCGACGAUGCGUAGCCGACCUGAGAGGGUGAUCGGCCACACUGGGACUGAGACCCGGCCCAGACUCCUACGGGAGGCAGCAGUAGGGAAUCUUCGGCAAUGGACGAAAGUCUGACCGAGCAACGCCGCGUGAGCGAUGAAGGCCUUCGGGUCGUAAAGCUCUGUUGUCAGAGAAGAACAAGUACCGGAGUAACUGCCGGUACCUUGACGGUACUUGACCAGAAAGCCACGGCUAACUACGUGCCAGCAGCCGCCGUAA
Molecule: ribosomal RNA, 512 nt
Filed under: uncultured bacterium
Lineage: Bacteria
Description: partial 16S ribosomal RNA
Rfam family: Bacterial small subunit ribosomal RNA
Source: RNAcentral